Paramuricea clavata is the source of this 651-nucleotide non-coding RNA. The record is from the annotation of a GenBank genome assembly. NCBI's taxonomy places the organism in Eukaryota, Metazoa, Cnidaria, Anthozoa, Malacalcyonacea, Plexauridae.
CUUUUAGUUUAUUUUAUUAAAAUUUUUCAGCAUAAUCAGCAAUAUGAUACCUUACUUCCUGUCGCCCACUGCAUGCAUAAAUUAAAAGUUGGAAUUGCCUAUUGACUAGACUAUGGAACUGGAUGGACAACAUGUUGGUUAUAUUGCUUUUGAACUAUGCAAGUAUUUGCACCCACUUUUGCACCCAUGUUGUGGAUGUCUAUUGUCUAUGUUCAGUGUAUCAAGUAUUGGGUUGACUUUUUUAAAAUAGGAUUUUAUCCAAGGGUGGAUUUUUUAUUUUUUUAAAGGAGGGGUGGAAACAUUUCUAGUGGGGUGCAAGCAGCACCACUGAGUGAGCUUUUUACAGGGGUUAGGCAUUAGGGUUAAAGACUUCUAACUCUAAGGUUGGUGGGGUUAAUUAAACACUUUAUAAGAGGGGUUAGAGAGAUUCUAAGGGGGGUUAACCCCUCCUAACCCCCCAGUGAAUCCGCCCAUGAGUUUAUCCAAAACUUUUCAUAACGACACCUGGUGAGUGGAGUCAUAACGACACCUGGUGAGUGGAUACUCAAGUGGUAGGAAAAAGCAUGAGUGUAUGUUGACAGAUGUUAUUUAUAUAAUAAAUAGCAACUAGCUAUGUUUAGCAAGUUAUUAGUGCAUUUAUUUCAAUUGGCU